GGGGAUUUAGCUCAGCGGCAUAAGCACCUGCCUGGAAAGCAUGAGGUCAUGAGUUCAAUCUCCA
This is a transfer RNA of Cavia porcellus (domestic guinea pig), 64 nucleotides long. It matches the Rfam family "tRNA". Rfam says of the family: Transfer RNA (tRNA) molecules are approximately 80 nucleotides in length. Their secondary structure includes four short double-helical elements and three loops (D, anti-codon, and T loops). The record is from Rfam. Lineage: Eukaryota; Metazoa; Chordata; Mammalia; Rodentia; Caviidae.